AAAUCGCAUCUAACGUGUCUUGGUGUUAUUUUGCUCUCCUUAACAUUGUGCACGGAUGCAUCGAGCACAUGCAGUUGCUCCAGUGGCGAGAGUUCGUGUUAAAAAGAGGAGAAACGGACCAUCAGACAAUGCACUUACACUAAUCUGAGAGAUGGCAGAGAUUCGGGACAAAUCAUGACAUGUGAUUUCAGAAAGACUCGCUCUGACACAGCUCUGCGUGUUACCUACCAGGGAGAUUUGAGAGUAAUAAGUGGCAAUAACGUUUGUCGACGUUGGUUCUUGACAAUCAAUGGCAGAGAAUGUCAAUCACCUGCUACAAUUGAAACUCAAAUCCACCCUAUUGGAGUCUCCGGCCUGAAUAACCAUCGCCCUGCUACUGUGGAUGGUUUUUGUGAG
Long non-coding RNA from Dendronephthya gigantea, 396 nucleotides. RefSeq lists it as uncharacterized. NCBI's taxonomy places the organism in Eukaryota, Metazoa, Cnidaria, Anthozoa, Malacalcyonacea, Nephtheidae. The transcript has 3 exons. The record is from RefSeq and is a predicted model, not a curated record.